RNAcentral lists this ribosomal RNA (273 nucleotides) under uncultured bacterium. RNAcentral's name for it is "partial 16S ribosomal RNA". It matches the Rfam family "Bacterial small subunit ribosomal RNA", at positions 524 to 796 of the family's 1533-position model. The record is from RNAcentral.
UACGUAGGGUGCGAGCGUUAAUCGGAAUUACUGGGCGUAAAGCGUGCGCAGGCGGUUAUGUAAGACAGAUGUGAAAGCCCCGGGCUUAACCUGGGAACUGCGUUUGUGACUGCAUAGCUAGAGUGCGACAGAGGGGGGUGGAAUUCCACGUGUAGCAGUGAAAUGCGUAGAGAUGUGGAGGAACACCGAUGGCGAAGGCAGCCCCCUGGGUCGACACUGACGCUCAGGCACGAAAGCGUGGGGAGCAAACAGGAUUAGAAACCCCCGUAGUCC